RNAcentral lists this ribosomal RNA (794 nucleotides) under uncultured Bacillota bacterium. Its description in RNAcentral is "bacterial SSU rRNA". It matches the Rfam family "Bacterial small subunit ribosomal RNA", at positions 76 to 902 of the family's 1533-position model. The record is from RNAcentral. Lineage: Bacteria; Bacillati; Bacillota.
GGGGCAACCCUGUGAGUACAGUGGCGUACGGGUGAGUAACACGUGGGUAAUCUACCCUUUAGUGGGGAAUAACGCUGGGAAACCGGCGCUAAUACCGCAUAAGCCUGAGAAGGGAAAGCAGCAAUGCGCUGAAGGAGGAGCCCGCGGCCGAUUAGCCAGUUGGUAGGGUAAAGGCCUACCAAAGCAAAGAUCGGUAGCCGGCCUGAGAGGGCACACGGCCACACUGGCACCGAAACACGGGCCAGACUCCUACGGGAGGCAGCAGUGGGGAAUCUUGCACAAUGGGGGAAACCCUGAUGCAGCGACGCCGCGUGAGCGAUGAAGCCCUUCGGGGUGUAAAGCUCUUUCGGCAGGGACGAUAAUGACGGUACCUGCAGAAGCAGCUGCGGCUAACUACGUGCCAGCAGCCGCGGUAAUACGUAGGCAGCGAGCGUUGUUCGGAGUUACUGGGCGUAAAGGGUGUGUAGGCGGCUCUCUAAGUUUGGUGUGAAAUCUCCCGGCUCAACCGGGAGGGUGCGCCGAAAACUGGAGGGCUAGAGUGCGGGAAGGGAGAGUAGAAUUCCUGGUGUAGCGGUGAAAUGCGUAGAUAUCAGGAGGAAUACCGGUGGUGCAGACGGCUCUCUGGACCGCGACUGACGCUGAGACACGAAAGCGUGGGUAGCAAACAGGAUUAGAUACCCUGGUAGUCCACGCCCUAAACGAUGCAUAUUUGGUGUAGGUCAUUCAGUUGAUCUGUGCCGGAGCUAACGCGUUAAAUAUGCCGCCUGGGGAGUACAGCCGCAAGGCUGAAACUC